UCAUUAGUCUUUUAAUUGAAGGCUGGUAUGAAUGGUGAGACGAGAAAAUAGCUGUCUCUGAAAUAGAUUUUGAAUUUUAUUUUUAAGUGAAAAAGCUUAAAUGCGUUUGGGGGACGAUCAGACCCUCUGGAGCUUUAUUUAUCCCCUUGUUUACACUUAUUUAAGAUUAUGAAAUAGUCGGGUAAAUUUUGUUGGGGCGACAGGAAGAUUAAAAUAACACUUCUUUUUUAAAACGCUUUUAAGCGAAAUAUUGAUCCUUAGGGAGAGAUUAAAAGAUUAAGUUACCCUAGGGAUAACAGCGUAAUCUUUUUGGAGAGUUCUAAUCGAUAAAAAGGUUUGCGACCUCGAUGUUGGAUUAAGAAAUUGGCAAGGUGCAGAAGUUUUGUUGGAAAGUCUGUUCGACUUU
This 406-nucleotide ribosomal RNA is filed under the name Daphnia galeata. RNAcentral describes it as "partial 16S ribosomal RNA". It matches the Rfam family "Bacterial large subunit ribosomal RNA", at positions 1965 to 2588 of the family's 2925-position model. The record is from RNAcentral. Lineage: Eukaryota; Metazoa; Arthropoda; Branchiopoda; Diplostraca; Daphniidae.